CAGUCGCCGCGGGAAUACGUAGGUGGCAAGCGUUGUCCGGAAUUAUUGGGCGUAAAGGGCUCGCAGGCGGUUUCUUAAGUCUGAUGUGAAAGCCCCCGGCUCAACCGGGGAGGGUCAUUGGAAACUGGGAAACUUGAGUGCAGAAGAGGAGAGUGGAAUUCCACGUGUAGCGGUGAAAUGCGUAGAGAUGUGGAGGAACACCAGUGGCGAAGGCGACUCUCUGGUCUGUAACUGACGCUGAGGAGCGAAAGCGUGGGGAGCGAACAGGAUUAGAUACCCAGUAGUCCCUGUCUCUUAUACC
RNAcentral lists this ribosomal RNA (301 nucleotides) under uncultured bacterium. RNAcentral describes it as "partial 16S ribosomal RNA". It matches the Rfam family "Bacterial small subunit ribosomal RNA", at positions 509 to 808 of the family's 1533-position model. The record is from RNAcentral.